GACUACCAGGGUAUCUAAGCCCGUUCGCUACCCUAGCUUUCGUUCCUCAGCGUCAGAAAAGAUCCAGUGAGCCGCUUUCGCCACCGGUGUUCCAGAUGAUAUCAACGCAUUUCACCGCUCCACCAUCUGUUCCGCUCACCUCUAUCUCCCUCAAGCCUGACGGUUUGAAGCGCAAUUCCUCGGUUGAGCCGAGGGAUUUCACACCUCACCUGUCGGGCCGCCUACGAACUCUUUAAGCCCAGUGAUACCGAAUAACGUUCGGACGGUUCGUCUUACCGCGGCUGCUGGCACGAACUUAGCCCGUCCUUCCUCCUAAGAUCACUCAACUAUGAGAGAGUACCCUCAUAGAUUUGUUCCCUUACGACAGCGGUUUACAACCCGAGGGCCUUCAUCCCGCACGCGGCGUCGCUCGGUCAGGGUUUCCCCCAUUGCCGAAGAUUCUCGACUGCAGCCCCCCGUAGG
This 462-nucleotide ribosomal RNA is filed under the name uncultured bacterium. Its description in RNAcentral is "partial 16S ribosomal RNA". The record is from RNAcentral.